Molecule: ribosomal RNA, 123 nt
Filed under: Neotoma lepida (desert woodrat)
Lineage: Eukaryota; Metazoa; Chordata; Mammalia; Rodentia; Cricetidae
Source: RNAcentral
GUCUAUGGCCAACCAUCUUGAACACACCUGAUCUUGUCUGAUCUCAGAAGCUAAGCAGGGUUGGGCCUGGUUAGUACUUGGAUGGGAGACCAUCUGUGAAUACCAUACUGGGUGCUGUAGGUU